AUGCCAUGUCCGAUUGGAUUCAGCAUGGUUGAGCUCGUCCAAAACUAUGAUGUGCUGGAGAAGUGUACAAAAGAUAUUCUCUCCAUAAUCAAGCCAACAGAGGCCGAUCAGAACAAACGACUGCACGCAAUUCAGGAGAUUGUGGAUUCCAUCUAUUUAGUUGGUCGCUUGGGAGAUGCUGCUGUCAAACCUUUUGGAUCCUUUUUAUCAAAACUUUACGCAAAAUCAGGUGAUUUGGAUGUAUCAGUUGAGCUGCCAAAUGUCUUAGGCUUCCCUACAAGCAAGGAAAAGAAGCAAAGUCUCUUGGGAGAACUAAUGAGAGCUUUAGAAGUUAGAGGUGUUUCUAGAGAUGUGAACUUCAUUCCUACUGCAAGAGUUCCAGUUCUUCAGUAUGUGAGCAACCACUUUGGUGUUUCCUGUGAUAUAUCCAUUGAUAACUACCCUGGUGGACUUAAAUCCAAAGUGCUGUACUGGAUCAAUACUUUAGAUGGCCGCUUUGGCGAUAUGGUUUUAUUGGUCAAGGAAUGGGCAAAAGCUCAAAACAUCAACGAUCCAAAAGAUGGAACCCUCAACUCCUAUUCGCUUUGCUUACUUGUACUCUUUCAUUUUCAGACAUGUAAGCCUGCGAUUUUACCACCUAUGAAUGAGUUUUUAGAUGUGAACAUUUCAGCAGAAAGUGGGCCUUAUAAUGAAAAAAAUCUUGAUGAGAUGUGUGCGGAAAGUAUAGCAAAGUUUCGACGCCGGGACAUAGGGCAAAGGAAUCAGAGCUCUCUGUCUCAUCUCCUUGCAACUUUCUUUGAGAAGUUUUGCCGUCUAGGUGUCCAUUCUAGUGAUCAUGUUAUAUCCACUUACAUGGGCCGGCUCCAGCGAAAACAAGGCGGCCUAUAUUGGAUGACCAAAUCUUGCUACUUGUUUGUUGAAGAUCCAUUUCAGAGACUUGAUAAUGCAGCUAGAACAGUUGAUGUGCUAGGGCUUCAUGAUAUUGCCACAGCCUUAAAAAAUGCUAAAAAUAUUGUCUCCUCUGAUGGGCCUGUUGACCGGAAUGAAUUCCUUUCGCUGCUGUGUACGCCUGAAGUUGGUUCUAAACUGGGUGCAAGAGCCACGGCUGGCCGUUACGCUACUCCUGCGACGACCCUUCAGGAGGACAGAUUCAGAGGAUUUCUGGAACGUUUGGCAGCUAACCCUUUCGAUAAUCAGCAUCGCCUUAGAGCCCAAGGAUCAACAGGAAGCAGAUCAAUUCAUAGCCCACAGCCACAGGGGUACAAUUCAGGCAGGCAGGCAGCUGCUCGACGCCAGAGCCAGCAGCGCAGAGGGGAGUACACUUCAGAUCGUCAAGCUAGUGGUCAUGCUCUGAAUGCGAUGUUUGAUGAGAUUUUGGGUAGACGUCUCCACAAUGGUUCAGCACCCAACUCACGAUCCCAAGCCUUCUCCAGCAGGUCACCAGGGCAAUACUGGUAG
This 1458-nucleotide ribosomal RNA is filed under the name Triticum aestivum (bread wheat). RNAcentral's name for it is "partial small subunit ribosomal RNA". The record is from RNAcentral. Lineage: Eukaryota; Viridiplantae; Streptophyta; Magnoliopsida; Poales; Poaceae.